ACACAAAACAAGCGGUGAAUGCUUUGGGGUGGGGUGACUGCGUACCUUUUGUAUAAUGGGUCAGCGACUUAUAUUCUGUAGCAAGGUUAACCGUAUAGGGGAGCCGGAGGGAAACCGAGUCUUAAUUGGGCGUUAAGUUGCAGGGUAUAGACCCGAAACCCGGUGAUCUAGCCAUGGGCAGGUUGAAGGUUGGGUAACACUAACUGGAGGACCGAACCGACUAAUGUUGAAAAAUUAGCGGAUGACCUGUGGCUGGGGGUGAAAGGCCAAUCAAACCGGGAGAUAGCUGGUUCUCCCCGAAAGCUAUUUAGGUAGCGCCUCGUGAAUUCAUCUCCGGGGGUAGAGCACUGUUUCGGCUAGGGGGCCAUCCCGGCUUACCAACCCGAUGCAAACUGCGAAUACCGGAGAAUGUUAUCACGGGAGACACACGGCGGGUGCUAACGUCCGUCGUGAAGAGGGAAACAACCCAGACCGCCAGCUAAGGUCCCAAAGUCAUGGUUAAGUGGGAAACGAUGUGGGAAGGCCCAGACAGCCAGGAUGUUGGCUUAGAAGCAGCCAUCAUUUAAAGAAAGCGUAAUAGCUCACUGGUCGAGUCGGCCUGCGCGGAAGAUGUAACGGGGCUAAACCAUGCACCGAAGCUGCGGCAGCGAACGUAUCACCCAAGACAACUUUACGGAGUUGACGAUUGACGGAGCGAAGCGACGUCAAAGCGUUCAUUAAAGUCGAGUUGGCUUAGGGAUACGUUCGUUGGGUAGGGGAGCGUUCUGUAAGCCUGUGAAGGUGUGUCGUGAGGCAUGCUGGAGGUAUCAGAAGUGCGAAUGCUGACAUAAGUAACGAUAAAGCGGGUGAAAAGCCCGCUCGCCGGAAGACCAAGGGUUCCUGUCCAACGUUAAUCGGGGCAGGGUGAGUCGACCCCUAAGGCGAGGCCGAAAGGCGUAGUCGAUGGGAAACGGGUUAAUAUUCCCGUACUUGGUGUUACUGCGAAGGGGGGACGGAGAAGGCUAUGUUGGCCGGGCGACGGUUGUCCCGGUUUAAGCGUGUAGGUGUGUGUUCCAGGUAAAUCCGGUUCACUUUAACACUGAGGCGUGACGACGAGGCACUACGGUGCUGAAGCAACAAAUGCCCUGCUUCCAGGAAAAGCCUCUAAGCAUCAGGUAACACGAAAUCGUACCCCAAACCGACACAGGUGGUCAGGUAGAGAAUACCAAGGCGCUUGAGAGAACUCGGGUGAAGGAACUAGGCAAAAUGGUGCCGUAACUUCGGGAGAAGGCACGCUGACACGUAGGUGAAGUGAUUUACUCAUGGAGCUGAAGUCAGUCGAAGAUACCAGCUGGCUGCAACUGUUUAUUAAAAACACAGCACUGUGCAAACACGAAAGUGGACGUAUACGGUGUGACGCCUGCCCGGUGCCGGAAGGUUAAUUGAUGGGGUCAGCGUAAGCGAAGCUCCUGAUCGAAGCCCCGGUAAACGGCGGCCGUAACUAUAACGGUCCUAAGGUAGCGAAAUUCCUUGUCGGGUAAGUUCCGACCUGCACGAAUGGCGUAAUGAUGGCCAGGCUGUCUCCACCCGAGACUCAGUGAAAUUGAACUCGCUGUGAAGAUGCAGUGUACCCGCGGCAAGACGGAAAGACCCCGUGAACCUUUACUAUAGCUUGACACUGAACAUUGAGCCUUGAUGUGUAGGAUAGGUGGGAGGCUUUGAAGUGUGGACGCCAGUCUGCAUGGAGCCGACCUUGAAAUACCACCCUUUAAUGUUUGAUGUUCUAACGUGGACCCGUAAUCCGGGUUGCGGACAGUGUCUGGUGGGUAGUUUGACUGGGGCGGUCUCCUCCUAAAGAGUAACGGAGGAGCACGAAGGUUGGCUAAUCCUGGUCGGACAUCAGGAGGUUAGUGCAAUGGCAUAAGCCAGCUUGACUGCGAGCGUGACGGCGCGAGCAGGUGCGAAAGCAGGUCAUAGUGAUCCGGUGGUUCUGAAUGGAAGGGCCAUCGCUCAACGGAUAAAAGGUACUCCGGGGAUAACAGGCUGAUACCGCCCAAGAGUUCAUAUCGACGGCGGUGUUUGGCACCUCGAUGUCGGCUCAUCACAUCCUGGGGCUGAAGUAGGUCCCAAGGGUAUGGCUGUUCGCCAUUUAAAGUGGUACGCGAGCUGGGUUUAGAACGUCGUGAGACAGUUCGGUCCCUAUCUGCCGUGGGCGCUGGAGAACUGAGGGGGGCUGCUCCUAGUACGAGAGGACCGGAGUGGACGCAUCACUGGUGUUCGGGUUGUCAUGCCAAUGGCACUGCCCGGUAGCUAAAUGCGGAAGAGAUAAGUGCUGAAAGCAUCUAAGCACGAAACUUGCCCCGAGAUGAGUUCUCCCUGAGACUU
Molecule: ribosomal RNA, 2364 nt
Filed under: Salmonella enterica subsp. enterica serovar Typhimurium
Lineage: Bacteria; Pseudomonadati; Pseudomonadota; Gammaproteobacteria; Enterobacterales; Enterobacteriaceae
Description: bacterial LSU rRNA
Rfam family: Bacterial large subunit ribosomal RNA
Source: RNAcentral